This 185-nucleotide ribosomal RNA is filed under the name uncultured bacterium. Its description in RNAcentral is "partial 16S ribosomal RNA". It matches the Rfam family "Bacterial small subunit ribosomal RNA", at positions 1317 to 1500 of the family's 1533-position model. The record is from RNAcentral.
UACAUGAAGCUGGAAUCGCUAGUAAUCGCAGAUCAGCAUACUGCGGUGAAUACGCUCCCGGGUCUUGUACACACCGCCCGUCACACCAUGGGAGCCGGAAAUGCCCGAAGCCAGUGACCCAACCUUAGGGAGGGAGCUCGUCGAAGGUGGAGCCGGUAACUGGGGUGAAGUCGUAACAAGGUAUC